Long non-coding RNA from Fukomys damarensis (Damara mole-rat), 1554 nucleotides. RefSeq lists it as uncharacterized. Lineage: Eukaryota; Metazoa; Chordata; Mammalia; Rodentia; Bathyergidae. The transcript is spliced from 4 exons. The record is from RefSeq and is a predicted model, not a curated record.
GAAGAAUCUGAAGCCAGCCUUGUUGCUAAUUCGCCACAUGACCUGGCACUGUGACGUCACAGUGGCCGCUGUGUCCAUAGACAGUGGGGCGUUUUCAGCUCCAUUAUAAUCUUACGGGAUCGCCAUGCAGUCUGUCCUUGACCAAGACGUUACAUGGCACGUGACUGUAUGUGCCCACCUCAGGGCCGUCACACAGGCUGUUCCUGGCAUACUCCUGCUCCAGGUUCCACAUGCGGUGGAUCCAACCAGCGACAGAGCAAACACAUUCCAGAAAGGGCUGAGAGCACCCCUGAAGGGCAGCGGUGAGCCCCAGCCGGGGACCCACGACACAGAGGGCUUGGGAAAGCAGCCUGGCAGCCCGGCCAGCUAAGAGGCCAAGCGCAGGUACCGACCGAAACUGCUGCGCUCCGUCUUCACCAGCUUGUCCCGCCUCGCUUUCCCCAGGUCCUUGCUCGCUGAGUCAUUCUGAGGAUGAGAGGGGAACGCGCUACUCAAGCCCAGGCUGGUCCGAUGGCAGAAGCCGUAAAGGGACAGCCCAGAGUCAAGAGCUGGGCUGCUGUGUGGUUGACUCUUAGCUCGGAAAUUAGCUCUCUGUGUGACGUUCAGCAACUGUGGCUCUCUCUGGCCUCAGCCUCCAGUCUGGACGUUGGCAGUAACCGUUGUGGUUUGGAUCAAGAAUGUCCCCCCAAGAGCCUACCGUGGCAGAGCUGACUGGACCGUGGGUGCGUGUGUCUCACCCCUGGCUGAAUCCAUCGCUGAAAAUGCAAGUGAAUGCGCUGUUAGGAGGGGAAGGAAGGAGGCACCGGUGCCCUGGAAGGGUGUCUUCCGGUCCCCAGCCCCUUCCUCUCUCUCUGGCUCUUUCCCUUUCCUGUUUCCUGGCCACCGUAGGGUGAGCUGCUCUCCUCUGCCCGGCCCUUCUGCUGUGCUGCUUCUGCCUUGACGCCAGCUGACCAUGGACGGAACCUCUGAAACCGUGAGCCAGAAUGAACCUGUCCUCCUGAGGAGCCAGGCACUGUGUGUCCCAGUGACGGAAAGGCGGACCCUUGGCAGAUGCACUCAACUCAACUCGUUCCCAAGGGCCGGUUAUAACUCAGGUUGGUCCACUGAAGGCUCAGGCUCCUCCACACAGCCUUCAAAGUCUUCCCCUGUACACAGGCAGAUCUUAGAGAGUCACUGGCCCCAGGAUCUCUCAACCCCACACAGGAAAGGAUGUGGUAAUUAACGCUCCUUCCAGAACGCUUUUGGGGUUAAAUCUGCAUCGGAGACCAUCUGGAAGCACAAGCUGCUGACAUUCAGGUCGUAACCCAAGACUUUGGUCCUAAGUUACAACUAAAAUUCCGGUCAUAACCCAGGUUGUUUGUAUGUCGGGCCGGUCGUAACUUGAGGGUUCAUUGUAAUGCGAUUACCACAGGGGCCCCCACCUCACAGGGACUGUGCUGCCGGAAUGAGAUGGGGCUGGCAGAGGGCUCCACACGUCGCCCGGCCUGGGCACCAACUGGGCAGCAGACGCUCUUGGUACUGAUCCGCCUGGCAGCCAUGCCAAGGCCAUGGCGU